This is a long non-coding RNA of Heterocephalus glaber (naked mole-rat), 1009 nucleotides long. Lineage: Eukaryota; Metazoa; Chordata; Mammalia; Rodentia; Bathyergidae. The record is from Ensembl.
UGGAACCCUUGUUAAUGGUGUCACAAUCUAGUAACAGCCAUCUCCCAAGCUCACUUGUCUGGAGACAGUCAACAUUGAACAUGCUGAGCUGCUUCUCCACUUUGAGAAGCUGCAGCCUCAGGACCCCAGGUAGAGAAAGUAUCUGUGAAACAUUAAGAAGAUGGCUGACUCCAUCCAGAUGCCACAGGCCAUGCUGCAACAGCCACACAACUGUCAUAGACACCCCAGGGACGGUCUCCCCAGAAGUGACCACCAGUGACCUACCAAAAUCAAGAUUGCAUAUGCAUGUGCUUUUGUGGACAGAAUGUCCAGGUUGCAGAAACCAGAAGACUCUGAUUUGGAGACCAAAACUAAAAGGUAACUGGGCUAUGAGGACAGCCAAUAUUUUGGCCCUGGCAUCUCAAGGUCAACAAAGAUCCAGGACAUGAGGGAACCUUCUCUACAGGGUCCUACAUCUUUGGAACGAAUGAGGGCAUUCACCAGCCAGACAGUCAAGGAAUUCAUCAUGGCAGCGUACCAGCCACUACAACAAAAGGAAGAGGUCCCCACUUGCCAUGGGUCUCAUCAGAUCCACAUCUAGCCCCAAUUUUCACCCCUUGUCAGCAAGAAGCAGCUCCAGAAGAAGAGACCUUCACCCAAUUAUCAUAAAACAAAAGCCUGGAAUGAUAGGUCUCCCACUACCUCAGCAAUUAUUGUGUAUAGUAGCUGCCCUCUUCCUAUGGUGCCUUGCCCCCUCCCCUGUGUGACAUCAUGCCAAGAUGGUUGCUCCCACCAAAGAACAAACCCUUCUUCCCAGCAUGCCCCUGUUCCCGCCUAGAGAGUAACCUAAUACUCACCUCCUACCACCUAUUGACGUCACUGGCUCCUCCAUUCCCUAGUCACUACCUUACUCAACCCCACCUCAGCCCCUACAAGCCCCACCUCAGUCUCUAUAAAAGAUUCUCCCUGCUCCAGCCAUAUUGCUUUUGUCUCUCCUUUGUUCAGAGACAGCCCAGCAGAUCUGUUCCCC